UGCAAGUCGAGCGAGAAAGGUUUUCGGACUGAGUAAAGCGGCGGACGGGUGAGUAACGCGUAGGAAUCUACCCAGUAGUGGGGGACAACUUAGGGAAACUUAAGCUAAUACCGCAUACGCCCUGAGGGGGAAAGCGGGGGAUCUUCGGACCUCGCGCUAUUGGAAGAGCCUGCGUUAGAUUAGCUAGUUGGUGGGGUAAAGGCUCACCAAGGCGACGAUCUAUAGCUGGUCUGAGAGGAUGAUCAGCCACACUGGGACUGAGACACGGCCCAGACUCCUACGGGAGGCAGCAGUGGGGAAUAUUGCGCAAUGGGCGAAAGCCUGACGCAGCCAUGCCGCGUGUGUGAAGAAGGCCUUAGGGUUGUAAAGCACUUUCAAUUGGGAGGAAGGGUUUAACGUUAAUAGCGUUGAAUCUUGACGUUACCUUUAGAAGAAGCACCGGCUAGCUCCGUGCCAGCAGCCGCGGUAAUACGGAGGGUGCGAGCGUUAAUCGGAAUUACUGGGCGUAAAGCGCGCGUAGGCGGUUUGUUAAGUCGGAUGUGAAAUCCCCGGGCUCAACCUGGGAACUGCACCCGAUACUGGCCGACUUGAGUGCGAGAGAGGGAGGUAGAAUUCCAUGUGUAGCGGUGAAAUGCGUAGAUAUAUGGAGGAAUACCGGUGGCGAAGGCGGCCUCCUGGCUCGACACUGACGCUGAGGUGCGAAAGCGUGGGUAGCAAACAGGAUUAGAUACCCUGGUAGUCCACGCCGUAAACGAUGUCUACUAGCCGUUGGGGAACUUGAUUCUUUAGUGGCGCAGCUAACGCACUAAGUAGACCGCCUGGGGGAGUACGGCCGCAAGGUUAAAACUCAAAUGAAUUGACGGGGGCCCGCACAAGCGGUGGA
Molecule: ribosomal RNA, 883 nt
Filed under: uncultured Gammaproteobacteria bacterium
Lineage: Bacteria; Pseudomonadati; Pseudomonadota; Gammaproteobacteria
Description: bacterial SSU rRNA
Rfam family: Bacterial small subunit ribosomal RNA
Source: RNAcentral